GCUCAGAACGAACGCUGGCGGCGUGCUCCACACAUGCAAGUCGAACGAACCUUCGGGUUAGUGGCGGACGGGUGAGUAACGCGUGAGAAUCUGCCCUCAGGAGGGGGAUAACGGUUGGAAACGACCGCUAAUACCCCAUAUGCCGAGAGGUGAAAAGAAAUUCGCCUGAGGAUGAGCUCGCGUCUGAUUAGCUAGUUGGUGUGGUAAUGGCGCACCAAGGCUUCGAUCAGUAGCUGGUCUGAGAGGAUGAUCAGCCACACUGGGACUGAGACACGGCCCAGACUCCUACGGGAGGCAGCAGUGGG
Molecule: ribosomal RNA, 305 nt
Filed under: uncultured bacterium
Lineage: Bacteria
Description: bacterial SSU rRNA
Rfam family: Bacterial small subunit ribosomal RNA
Source: RNAcentral